CUAAGGUGGAGCAUACUCCCGGGAAACUGGGGCUAAUUCUCCAUAGUGGAUGUAUCCUGGAAUGGUAUAUCCUCGAAAGAUCCGUCGCCUUAGGAUGGGACUGCGUCCGAUUAGGUUGUUGGCGGGGUAACGGCCCACCAAGCCAUUGAUCGGUACGGGUUGUGGGAGCAAGAUCCCGGAGAUGGAUUCUGAGACAUGAAUCCAGGCCCUACGGGGCGCAGCAGGCGCGCAAACUUUACAAUGCGAGCAAUCGUGAUAAGGAAACCCUGAGUGCCUGUCGAUGCAGGCUGUUCAUAUAUCUAAAUCAUAUGUGAAGAAAGGGCAGGGCAAGACCGGUGCCAGCCGCCGCGGUAAUACCGGCUGCUCGAGUGAUGGCCACUAUUACUGGGUUUAAAGCGUCCGUAGCUUGACUGUUAGGUCUCUUGGGAAAUCUUCGCGCUCAACGUGAAGGCGUCUAAGAGAUACCGGCAGUCUUGGAACUGGGAGAGGUAAACCGUACUUCGGGGGUAGGAGUGAAAUCUUGUAAUCCUCGAGGGACGACCUAUGGCGAAGGCAGUUUACCAGAACAGCUUCGACAGUGAGGGACGAAAGCUGGGGGAGCAAACGGGAUUAGAUACCCCGGUAGUCCCAGCCGUAAACAAUGUGCGUUAGGUGUGUCGGUAACCACGUGUUACUGAUGCGCCGAAGAGAAAUCGUGAAACGCACCACCUGGGAAGUACGGUCGCAAGGCUGAAACUUAAAGGAAUUGGCGGGGGAGCACCACAACAGGUGGAGCCUGCGGUUUAAUUGGAUUCAACGCCGGG
RNAcentral lists this ribosomal RNA (803 nucleotides) under uncultured archaeon. Its description in RNAcentral is "bacterial SSU rRNA". It matches the Rfam family "Archaeal small subunit ribosomal RNA", at positions 114 to 922 of the family's 1478-position model. The record is from RNAcentral.